AUUGAACGCUGGCGGCAGGCCUAACACAUGCAAGUCGAGCGGAUGAAGGGAGCUUGCUCCUGGAUUCAGCGGCGGACGGGUGAGUAAUGCCUAUGAAUCUGCCUGGUAGUGGGGGAUAACGUCCGGAAACGGGCGCUAAUACCGCAUGCGUCCUGAGGGAGAAAGUGGGGGAUCUUCGGACCUCACGCUAUCAGAUGAGCCUAGGUCGGAUUAGCUAGUUGGUGGGGUGAAGGCCUACCAAGGCGACGAUCCGUAACUGGUCUGAGAGGAUGAUCAGUCACACUGGAUCUGAGAAACGGUACAGACUUCUACGGGAGGCCGCAGCGGGGAAUAUUGCAGAAGGGGCGAAAGCGUGAUCCAGCCAUGCCGGGUGUGUGAAGAAGGUCUUCGGAUUGUAAAGCACUUUAAGUUGGGAGGAAGGACAGUAAUUUCAUCCCUUGCUGUAUUGACGUUACCAACAGAAGAAGCACCGGCUAACUUCGUG
RNAcentral lists this ribosomal RNA (484 nucleotides) under uncultured bacterium. Its description in RNAcentral is "partial 16S ribosomal RNA". It matches the Rfam family "Bacterial small subunit ribosomal RNA", at positions 30 to 507 of the family's 1533-position model. The record is from RNAcentral.